This 600-nucleotide ribosomal RNA is filed under the name uncultured bacterium. RNAcentral describes it as "bacterial SSU rRNA". It matches the Rfam family "Bacterial small subunit ribosomal RNA", at positions 98 to 710 of the family's 1533-position model. The record is from RNAcentral.
GCGUACGGUGCGAACACGUGUGCACCUGCCUUAUCUGGGGAUAGCUUCGAAGGAGAUAUACCCAUAUAUGUGAUGCGUCUUCGACAUGAAACUCNGUGAUAAGAUGGCCGCCGCAGAUAAAUGUUGUGAGGUACGGCUCACCAGUCUACGAUCUUUAGGGGGCUGAAAGGUGAUCNGCACACUGGACUGAAACACGGGCAAAACUCCUACGGGAAGCACAUAGGNANUCCUCCGCAUGGGACGGGAAUUCUGACCGAGCAACGCCGCGUGAGUGAAAGAAAGGUUUCCGGAUCGUAAAAGCUCUGUUGGUAAGAAGAAGAAACGAGUGUGAAGAAGUGGAAAAGUUCACACUGUGAACGGGUUUCUUACCAGAAAAGGGACGGCUAACUACGUGCCCAAGCAGCCGCGGUAAUACGUAGGUCCCGAGCGUUGUCCGGAUUUAUUGGGCGUAAAGCGAGCGCAGGCGGUUAGAUAGUCUGAAGUUAAAAGGCUGUGGCUUAACUGUGAAACUGCCAUUGAUACUGGCAGGUCUUGAAGUGUUGUUGAAGUAGCUGGAAUAAGUAGUGUAACGGUGAAAUGCAUAGAUUUACUUAGAACACC